This 497-nucleotide ribosomal RNA is filed under the name uncultured bacterium. RNAcentral describes it as "partial 16S ribosomal RNA". It matches the Rfam family "Bacterial small subunit ribosomal RNA", at positions 28 to 507 of the family's 1533-position model. The record is from RNAcentral.
GAUGAACGCUGGCGGCGUGCCUAAUACAUGCAAGUCGAGCGAACAGACGAGGAGCUUGCUCCUCUGACGUUAGCGGCGGACGGGUGAGUAACACGUGGAUAACCUACCUAUAAGACUGGGAUAACUUCGGGAAACCGGAGCUAAUACCGGAUAAUAUAUUGAACCGCAUGGUUCAAUAGUGAAAGACGGUUUUGCUGUCACUUAUAGAUGGAUCCGCGCCGCAUUAGCUAGUUGGUAAGGUAACGGCUUACCAAGGCGACGAUGCGUAGCCGACCUGAGAGGGUGAUCGGACACACUGGAACUGAGACACGGUCCAGACUCCUACGGGAGGCAGCAGUAGGGAAUCUUCCGCAAAGGGCGAAAGCCUGACGGGGCAACGCCGCGUGAGUGAUGAAGGUCUUCGGAUCGUAAAACUCUGUUAUUAGGGAAGAACAAAUGUGUAAGUAACUAUGCACGUCUUGACGGUACCUAAUCAGAAAGCCACGGCUAACUACGUG